UCAGGAGAUCCUUCCACAUCCAUCAGGCUCUAGAACACCUCGGUCUGGAUCAGUGGCUCAUGAUCUGUUGGCUGCUAGAACCUUUUACCCACCAGAACCCUCUCAUUUCUAUCUACACCGCUGGUACCAUAGAGUUCUGUACUCUUACAACACAAUUUUAUUGCAAACACCAUCUUAUUGUAAAUACCAACAAUGUUGCACAUUUCUGUAAACCGGAUGUUUUCAGGAACCUUAAUGCCAUCUCUUCCACGAGCACAAUUUGUUCAUUGACAGUUCUGUUAUUAGCUAUUGGAUACUUUGAAAUUUUCCCAAGGGGAUGAAUUGUCUGUCUGUCUGUCUGUCUAUCCAUCUUCAUUUAGAUGGAACCAAUAACAGCUUUAUGAUGCAGCAUUUUGAGCACAUUUUACUAAAUAAAAAUCAAACAUUUGCAAAACCAGGAAAAAAACAAGAUACAGAAAAACAAAUACUCUUAGCAGUUUUACAGUACACACUGCUUUGUGGUACUUGUGUGGAACAGUACUGCAGUAUAGUGCAGUAUUUAAGAGGAGUAGUACUGUGGAUUUACAGUCAUGAACACGUUUCCAUCCACCUAUAAAGUCGCUGUUCAUUAGUCAGUCAUUAGUUCCCAAUAACUCAGAAUUGUCUAGGAUGGAAUCACUGAAACACAUGAAUCUUUGUCAUGAAAAACAGUUAUGUAUUUUAGUUCUUUUAUAGAUUUAUGAUAGAGCUUCUAGAAAUAUGACUCUCUUAAGGUGGUCAGAUGUCUCAUCAUCUAGUUAGUGAAUGGAUGAAUGAGUUCCCACAGUACCUACCUAGUGUCUAAUAAUCUAACAUCUAAUACUAUCUAACCACUGCAAAGGGAACAUCCUUGGUAGAAUCAUCAGGGAAACAUGACCCUGUUGAGCUGGACAGGCUGAAAAAUAUACAAACAGAAAUGCUAAUAUUUGGUUAAAUUUGUCCAUUUCCACCUCAGUUUGGUUCUUUGGUUCCCGUCUACAAUCUUCUAGUUUAUCUUUGACUCCUCUGGACAGAACUGGCUCCCUAAAUGUGUUGUGUUUCUGACUCAGACUUGUUUCUUCAUCAGUCCGCAGGUUCUUGAUGGGUCUAAGUCAGGACUUUGGGGAGACCAGUCCAGAACCUUCAUUCUAGCCUGAUGGAAUCAUUUCUUUACCACGUCUGAUGUGUGUUUGGACUCAUUGUCUGGUUGAAACAUCCAACUGUGUCCAAGAUCAACCUUCUGCUGAUGGUUUUAGGUUCUCCUGAAGAACGUGGAGGUGAUGCUCCUUCUUCAUUAUUCCAUUUACUUUGUGGAAAGCUCCAGUUCUAGAGAGAAUGAUACUGCCACCUCCAUGCUUGAUGGUAGGUUUAGUGUUCUUGGGGUUAAAGACCUCAUGUUCAGUUUUUGUUCCAUCUGACCACAGAACUUUCCUCCAGAGCCUUUUCUUUGUCCAUGUGAUGAGUGGAGCUUUAAGGUUCUGCUUCUAGAGGAAGAACUUCCUUCUUCAUGAAUCCUCUAGAACCCUGUGGACACUGACAGUUGUGUUCCAGCAGCUUCUCAUUCAUCCAGAUCUGCUUUCUGAUGGUUUCUGGUUGACUCGUGACCAUCCUGACCAAUCAUCUCUCAGCAGCAGGUGAUAGUUUGUGUUUUCUUCCUGAUGGUGGCAGUAACACACCUGGACCAUGAACUUUAUUCUGACAAACAGAUGAUUCUGGAUCUGAAGCUGCUUUGAAAUGGCUCCAAGUGACUUUCUGACUUGUUCAAGUCAAUGAUUUUCUUCUUCAAAUCUUUGCUGAGCUCCUCAGAUGUUCCCCCUGUACUGUUUGAGUCUAAUGAGUGGAUCUAAUGGUUCUAUUUAACUUGGAUCAGAGGAGUCAGCAGCUGCAGUCAACUGGAGUCACUCAUGAAACUAAGAAAAUUUGAUAAACACAACUUUUUACAUCAGUAAACCUGACAAUUCAAAUCGCUGUUUGUAUAUUUUUGACCCAACAGUUUUUUGUCAUACACUAUAUGGCCAAAAGUAUUGGCUCACCCAUCCAAAUAAUCAGAAUCAGGUGUUCCAAUCACUUCCAUGUCCACAGGUGUAUAAAAUCAAGCACCUAGGCUACAGACUGCUUUUACAAACAUUUGUGAAAGAAUGGGUCGCUCUCAGGAGCUCAGUGAAUUCCAGCGUGGAACUGUGAUAGGAUGCCACCUGUGCAACAAAUCCAGUCGUGACAUUUCCUGGCUCCUAAAUAUUCCACAGUCAACUGUCAGCUGUAUUAUAAGAAAGU
Amphiprion ocellaris (clown anemonefish) is the source of this 2271-nucleotide long non-coding RNA. The record is from Ensembl. Lineage: Eukaryota; Metazoa; Chordata; Actinopteri; Pomacentridae.